RNAcentral lists this transfer RNA (71 nucleotides) under Neotoma lepida (desert woodrat). It matches the Rfam family "tRNA". Rfam says of the family: Transfer RNA (tRNA) molecules are approximately 80 nucleotides in length. Their secondary structure includes four short double-helical elements and three loops (D, anti-codon, and T loops). Further hydrogen bonds mediate the characteristic L-shaped molecular structure. tRNAs have two regions of fundamental functional importance: the anti-codon, which is responsible for specific mRNA codon recognition, and the 3' end, to which the tRNAs corresponding amino acid is attached (by aminoacyl-tRNA synthetases). tRNAs cope with the degeneracy of the genetic code in two manners: having more than one tRNA (with a specific anti-codon) for a particular amino acid; and 'wobble' base-pairing, i.e. permitting non-standard base-pairing at the 3rd anti-codon position. Lineage: Eukaryota; Metazoa; Chordata; Mammalia; Rodentia; Cricetidae. The record is from Rfam by way of RNAcentral.
GGUGAUGUGGCUCAGAGGUUAAGAGCACUGGCUGCUCUUCCAGAGGUCCUGAGUUCAAUUCCCAGCAACCA